AUACCUUUCUAGGCCUUUUGGCUAAGAUCAAGUGUAGUCUCUGUUCUAUAACUGAGAGGCGAGUACGCCAUGACGCAAAACAUCUGAAUCAGCAGGAAUUUUUUGUUCCCAUUAGUCUGUCUAAAUCCGAAAGACUAUAUGCUCUAGCAGGAUCAUAUUUUACAUUGACUCGCUUGGUAAGGGCCCUUACC
This 191-nucleotide small nuclear RNA is filed under the name Amborella trichopoda. RNAcentral's name for it is "snRNA U2". The stretch from base 1 to 140 matches the Rfam family "U2 spliceosomal RNA". From Rfam's summary of the family: U2 is a small nuclear RNA (snRNA) component of the spliceosome (involved in pre-mRNA splicing). Complementary binding between U2 snRNA (in an area lying towards the 5' end but 3' to hairpin I) and the branchpoint sequence (BPS) of the intron results the bulging out of an unpaired adenosine, on the BPS, which initiates a nucleophilic attack at the intronic 5' splice site, thus starting the first of two transesterification reactions that mediate splicing. Lineage: Eukaryota; Viridiplantae; Streptophyta; Magnoliopsida; Amborellales; Amborellaceae. The record is from RNAcentral.